This 308-nucleotide ribosomal RNA is filed under the name uncultured bacterium. RNAcentral's name for it is "bacterial SSU rRNA". It matches the Rfam family "Bacterial small subunit ribosomal RNA", at positions 208 to 507 of the family's 1533-position model. The record is from RNAcentral.
UAAGCUAUCGCUUUGCGAUGGGUCUGCGUCUGAUUAGCUAGUUGGUGGGGCAACGGCCUACCAAGGCGACGAUCAGUAGCCGGUCUGAGAGGAUGAACGGCCACAUUGGAACUGAGACACGGUCCAGACUCCUACGGGAGGCAGCAGUGGGGAAUCUUCCGCAAUGGGCGAAAGCCUGACGGAGCAACGCCGCGUGAGUGAAGAAGGUCUUCGGAUCGUAAAGCUCUGUUGUCGGGGACGAAUGUUGAGGCCUAGAACAUAGGUUUCAAAUGACGGUACCUGACGAGGAAGCCACGGCUAACUACGUG